AGGUGACAAUUGUAAACAGUACCCUAGUAAGAUGGCGGACAGUUAUGCCAUUUGUUAUGACGUCAUGUCAUAUCUAUUGUUCUCUUCUAUUGUGCUUUU
This is a long non-coding RNA of Sander lucioperca (pikeperch), 99 nucleotides long. RefSeq lists it as uncharacterized. Lineage: Eukaryota; Metazoa; Chordata; Actinopteri; Perciformes; Percidae. The record is from RefSeq and is a predicted model, not a curated record. The transcript has 3 exons.